RNAcentral lists this ribosomal RNA (468 nucleotides) under uncultured bacterium. RNAcentral's name for it is "partial 16S ribosomal RNA". It matches the Rfam family "Bacterial small subunit ribosomal RNA", at positions 28 to 507 of the family's 1533-position model. The record is from RNAcentral.
GACGAACGCUGGCGGCGUGCUUAACACAUGCAAGUCGAACGGAAAGGCCCUGCUUUUGUGGGGUGCUCGAGUGGCGAACGGGUGAGUAACACGUGAGUAACCUGCCCUUGACUUUGGGAUAACUUCAGGAAACUGGGGCUAAUACCGGAUAGGAGCUCCUGCUGCAUGGUGGGGGUUGGAAAGUUUCGGCGGUUGGGGAUGGACUCGCGGCUUAUCAGCUUGUUGGUGGGGUAGUGGCUUACCAAGGCUUUGACGGGUAGCCGGCCUGAGAGGGUGACCGGCCACAUUGGGACUGAGAGACGGCCCAGUCUCCUACGGUAGGCAGCAGUGGGGAAUAUUGCACAAUGGGCGGAAGCCUGAGGCAGCAACGCCGCGUGCGGGAUGACGGCCUUCGGGUUGUAAACCGCUUUCGCCUGAGACGAAGCGUGAGUGACGGUAAUGGGUAAAGAAGCACCGGCUAACUACGUG